GACGAACGCUGGCGGCGUGCCUAAUACAUGCAAGUUGAGCGCUGAAGGUUGGUACUUGUACCAACUGGAUGAGCAGCGAACGGGUGAGUAACGCGUGGGGAAUCUGCCUUUGAGCGGGGGACAACAUUUGGAAACGAAUGCUAAUACCGCAUAAAAACUUUAAACACAAGUUUUAAGUUUGAAAGAUGCAAUUGCAUCACUCAAAGAUGAUCCCGCGUUGUAUUAGCUAGUUGGUGAGGUAAAGGCUCACCAAGGCAAUGAUACAUAGCCGACCUGAGAGGGUGAUCGGCCACAUUGGGACUGAGACACGGCCCAAACUCCUACGGGAGGCAGCAGUAGGGAAUCUUCGGCAAUGGACGAAAGUCUGACCGAGCAACGCCGCGUGAGUGAAGAAGGUUUUCGGAUCGUAAAACUCUGUUGGUAGAGAAGAACGUUGGUGAGAGUGGAAAGCUCAUCAAGUGACGGUAACUACCCAGAAAGGGACGGCUAACUACGUG
RNAcentral lists this ribosomal RNA (497 nucleotides) under uncultured bacterium. RNAcentral describes it as "partial 16S ribosomal RNA". It matches the Rfam family "Bacterial small subunit ribosomal RNA", at positions 28 to 507 of the family's 1533-position model. The record is from RNAcentral.